UUAUGAGGUUUUUAAGUUAUUAAAACUUUGACUUAUUGACUUUUGACUUUAAGAUCUUUGAUUUCCAAUGUAAGACACAAUAACUUUUAAUCGCAAACGAUUCACAAUACUUUGUGGGGAGAACCGCUAAACAGAUAUCAAUGCAUUGAUUUUGGAGUUGUUAAAAAUCCGUGCAUUUCAAACAAGCGAAGUUAAUGUCGUAUCUAGCCCCCGUUGAAAUGAAAGGCCGUCUUUACCCACCAGGAUAUGUGAUAAAGGUCAGACGGUGUCUGGCGUAGAUCAUGCCGGUUACAGAUACAUUCAGUCAAGUUGUAAAAAUCAUAUACAUAAAUCAACGUGUAUGAGUAUUAAAGAUGUAUGUUUUUAGGGCCUCCUCUACUGAAGUUUAUUAGAUUUUAGAGGUGUUCUCAAGAGACACCCACAGGGCUACCCAACCUUUAAACAAUAAAGGAUUUGUCAUGCUCAUUACCUGCAAAUUAUCUUCAAGCCGUGCUACGUUACAAAUCCAACAAUAAACAAAACAAUGGCAGGCAACUACCAGGGUGAGUUUUUAUAUAAAUUAUUUAAAUAUAUUUUAAAGUGAAUAUUUGUUUAAUGUCUCAUGGAUGAUCUCUAGGUGGUUUUGAGAAUCAGGAUUUCGAUGAAGGUUUGGAACAGAUCCUUGAAGAGUUAUACGAGCAAGCUGUUAUCGACAAUCAAGCGGUGAUAAUUACUCCAGAAAACAUUUCACAAGAGGUUGUGAUUAGUACCGAAUCAUAACACGAUCUAAGACAUGUCACGAAUCCCACCCCCGCCGACGCUCUGGCUUCCGAAGGAGCUUCUCACAACCUCCCAGAUGUCUCAAGCGUUCGCACUGAAGUUAGCGUUACAUGUAGGCCGCGUCACUCAGAGGGUCAGGGGGUAAAAUGUUUGAGGUUACCGGAACGGGAAACGGAUGAUAUUCCAACUAACAGUCGUUUAAAGGACUUCGGAGAAUAAUGCAUUUACAGAGCAAGGAUAUGAUGAAGGAAGACUAACAGCCUGGACUGAUUCGAUGUUAGAUGACUGGGACCAGUUGUCUUUUAACGAUUCGGCAAGCGGGGAGGAAACGGAAGAGUUACCUCACGAAAAUCCUCAAGAACUGUUCCGUGAACGUGAUUUAAAUAGAAGGCUCGAUUAUGACAUGCUUCGCCGUGUUAAUCGACAGUUUGACACACUUUUUGAUUUGAGCGGUCAAGCAUUGUCCUAUCUGGGUGCAGAAGAGAUCGUUGCCACGAACAGCUAUAUGGUGUAUUUCGGCAGUUUCAACAAAGAACUUUUAAAUCUUAUGCAAAGAAUGUUAUCAGAUUUGUACCAGCGUGUUAUGCGUGAUCGCCCUUGAUAUGUAUUGUAUUGUUGUUUUUAUUAUUAUUAUUUUUUAUUAGUUUAUUUUUUGACAUCGAUUCGUUAUUACCACCGAAUAUUUCUUACAUUAUUGUUUGUUAUUGACAAUGAGUCAUUAUUAUAGUCAGGUAUUUCUUACAUUUAUUAUUGUUCUGUUCUUGAUAGUGAAUUAUCAUUAUCACUAGUUUCUUUCAUUUAUUAAUAUUGUUUGUUGAUGUCAUUGAUUUAUACCUUAAAGUAUUGCAUGUUAUUGUCUCCCAUAUUAGGUUUUGUUUUACUUGCGGAGAAAAAGGUGUUUUGAAUUUAUACUUACUGUAUGUUUCUGUUUUUGUUAUCUGGUUAUGUCACAUUGUGAAUUGGGGUUGGUGUUUUCAGGAGUGUGCACGCUUGUCUUUAAACUUGAAAAGAGGGUGUGUUUUCGAUUUAAAAAUAAAUAAAUAAAUAAUAUUUCAAAAUGAGUAGUAAAAGAUGAUUUACAUACCCACACUUCAGAAGAUGAUCAGAGAUCAUUAAGACCCAGAUAUGAUUUUCAAAACAAUACACAACAGUUACGUGAAAUUAUUAACAAUCAUUUACAGAUGUUACCACCUAAUCCUCUUAACAUGAUAGAUAGAUUACAUGAGCUUAUAGACGAACAACAUGAAUGGUUGGGUGCAGCUAUAAACAGCGAUGAUCAAUUCGGUGCAGGACCUUCUAAUAACGAGCCCUCAGGUUAUGAUCCCACAGCUCCAGAUAUGGGUCUCAGUCAGCCUUACAUAGAUAGACUAGUGAGAGAAGGAGGUACGUGGGUGAUUUUACAAUUGUCACAAGACCUCGAUUUAAUGGUUAAGAAAUGCAGGGGUAUGUAACAUCACGUGACACUAGCCACCUGCUCACGCGCACAGAGACCAUUGUGUGGAAUAAAAAGAAGUUCACGCUGCAUAAUAGAGCAGUUUUGAAAAGAUUCUAAGUUGUAUAUGACAAGCGAGUGCUACUACCCGAUUACAGCACACUUCCUUAUGGCUACUAAUGGUAUUUCUAGCACACAAAAUGUGUAUGUUGAAGAGGAUUUUGACUUUCGAUUGCAAAACCCUUUCUCAGCCUUAAUCAGCCUAAUCGGCCCAUCCGGAAGCGGGAAGACUGUCUCUUUAUAAAAAAUGUAUUGUGUAAUGCACACAAGUUGAUCAACGUAAAAAUUGACAGUAUUGUAUUUUUAUACAGUUGUUGGCCACCUUUGUAUGACGAACUGUUGUCAUUGUAUGAUAUAAAAUGUAUUGAAGGUAUUACAAACUCUUUAACGGAUGAAACUUUAUUACCUCCUAAUGUCAAUGUAUUAAUUAUCUGUGAUGUUCUGAUGUGGCAAGCCUUUUCAAACGAUGAACUCUUGCGCGCUUUCACACAAUAUGUUCAUCAUAAACCAUUUUCUAUCAUAUUGAUAACCCAGAACCUGUUUUUUUUCACGGUAAAACCAGCAGGACUAUCACACUGAAUACUCACUACCUUAUUUUGUACAAGAGUCCAAGAGACUCGAUGCAAAUAAUACUUUAGGACGUCAGAUUUACCCAGGAAAUACAAAGUUCUUUAUGGAUUGUUAGAAGGAUGCUACCAAUCAACCUUACAGAUUCCUUUUGAUUGACUUUAAAGCUAAAACACCAGCGUGUUUUCAACUCAGAUCAGGAUUGUUUUCAGAUCAACAGGUGGUGUAUGUACAGAAAAGACUAUGGUGGAUACUGUUGGUGAAAAUGAGUGAUUUUCAAACUUACCUAUUUUAAAACUAUUAUAUAAGGCUUCACCGAGACAACACCACAUUAUUUUACAGUCAACGUCAGAUCAGCUAAUUGAUAUCCCUGUGUGAGGUAGCUCUUAAUGUAUUUCACAGUAACAUACCUCUAAACACCAACCAGCUCCGGAGGUUAAAAAAGAUAAAACAGGAGAUCACAUAUGCCACUAGUAAAAAGAUUAACAUCAAAAGAAAAAAAACGGUUGAUUGAUCAACGAGGCGGUUUUCUUGUACCUCUGUAAAGUGUGGCAAUACCAUUUAUCACUAGUUUAAUAACCUCCAGACAGCAUUAGGAAUGGAAUAUGCCGAAAAGCUUUACCUAAUCCCUCAGAAUCAGAUGAAUAAAUUAAGAACUGCAGGUGUUCGUGAGACAAUUCAACAAGCUGUGGAGAACGAUUUAGAUACAGCUAUAAGAAACGUAUUGCAAAGGAGUGAUUUAGAUUAACAUGGGAAGGCUAAACUUUAUUCCAGCGUCUUACAGAGGUUUUUAAUUAUAGUAAAACAAGGUGAUUUGGAGAGUAGUACUUUAACUCUUUCACUACCGAAAAUGGACACUAUUCAUGCCGAUGAACCUGCUAAUACACCUGCUACUGCACCUGCCACCGCACCUGUUAGUGCACCUACUGCUUCACCGUCGCAUGAUGAAGGCGAGGAUCAGAUGUCGACGAAAUCUCUCAAAGAAGUUUAAACAACAUCAAAUUCAUUCUGAAUAAAAUGUCUAAUGCCAAACAAGUGUAUUCAUGGACAAAUUCUGGCGAGUUUGUAUUUAAAGAGAAUGUUAUAUACCAUUUUCCACAAUCACGAAUCCGCAGGUUAAACGCAUAGUUGAAACCCUUAAAAAGAAAAUCGCCUAAUCCCAUGAAAAAAGGGGUUCGUAAAAAGCACACGUCAAAGACUAUGUCACUAUC
Molecule: long non-coding RNA, 4029 nt
Organism: Carassius auratus (goldfish)
Lineage: Eukaryota; Metazoa; Chordata; Actinopteri; Cypriniformes; Cyprinidae
Exons: 3
Source: RefSeq, a predicted model, not a curated record